AGAGUUUGAUCAUGGCUCAGGAUGAACGCUAGCGGCAGGCCUAAUACAUGCAAGUCGGGCGGCAAGUUGAGGAGUAAUCUGAGACCUAGAGCGGCGGACGGGUGCGUAACGCGUAUGCAACCUACCCUUUACCGGGGGAUAGCCCGGGGAAACCCGGAUUAAUACCCCAUAGUAUAUGAUUAUGGCAUCAUAAUUUUAUUAAAGAUUUAUCGGUAGGGGAUGGGCAUGCGUAGGAUUAGUUAGUUGGCGGGGUAACGGCCCACCAAGACUUUGAUCCUUAGGGGUUCUGAGAGGAAGGUCCCCCACACUGGCACUGAGAUACGGGCCAGACUCCUACGGGAGGCAGCAGUAGGGAAUAUUGGGCAAUGGGCGGGAGCCUGACCCAGCCAUGCCGCGUGCAGGAAGAAGGCGUUAUGCGUUGUAAACUGCUUUUAUACGGGAAGAAAAGGCCCAUGCGUGGGACAUUGCCGGUACCGUAUGAAUAAGCACCGGCUAACUCCGUGCCAGCAGCCGCGGUAAUACGGAGGGUGCAAGCGUUGUCCGGAUUUAUUGGGUUUAAAGGGUGCGUAGGCGGCUUUUUAAGUCAGCGGUGAAAGUCUGUGGCUCAACCAUAGAAGCGCCGUUGAUACUGGGAGGCUUGAGUGCCGUAUGGGUACAUGGAAUUGAUGGUGUAGCGGUGAAAUGCAUAGAUACCAUCAGGAACACCGAUAGCGUAGGCAUUGUACUGUGCGGCAACUGACGCUGAGGCACGAAAGCAUGGGUAGCGAACAGGAUUAGAUACCCUGGUAGUCCAUGCCGUAAACGAUGAUCACUCGCUGUUAUGUCCCUUGAGGCGUAGCGGCCAAGCGAAAGCGUUAAGUAUCCACCUGG
Molecule: ribosomal RNA, 870 nt
Filed under: uncultured bacterium
Lineage: Bacteria
Description: bacterial SSU rRNA
Rfam family: Bacterial small subunit ribosomal RNA
Source: RNAcentral